This 460-nucleotide ribosomal RNA is filed under the name uncultured bacterium. RNAcentral's name for it is "partial 16S ribosomal RNA". It matches the Rfam family "Bacterial small subunit ribosomal RNA", at positions 338 to 795 of the family's 1533-position model. The record is from RNAcentral.
CCUACGGGCGGCAGCAGUGAGGAAUAUUGGUCAAUGGGCGCGAGCCUGAACCAGCCAAGUCGCGUGAAGGAUGACUGCCCUACGGGUUGUAAACUUCUUUUAUAAAGGAAUCAAGUGAGGCACGUGUGCCUUUUUGUAUGUACUUUAUGAAUAAGGAUCGGCUAACUCCGUGCCAGCAGCCGCGGUAAUACGGAGGAUCCGGGCGUUAUCCGGAUUUAUUGGGUUUAAAGGGGGCGUAGAUGGGUUUUUAAGUCAGUUGUGAAAGUUUGCGGCUCAACCGUAAAAUUGCAAUUGAUACUGGAAGCCUGGAGUACAGUUGAGGUAGGCGGAAUAAGUGGUGUAGCGGUGAAAUGCUUAGAUAUAACGAAGAACUCCGAUUGCGAAGGCAGCUUACUAAACUGCCACUGACAUUGAUGCUCGAAAGUGUGGGUAUCAAACAGGAUUAGAUACCCGUGUAGUC